AUGAAAAGCCACUUCCACCACCUGUUCCAGUUUAUGAAAAACCUGUUCCACCACCUACACCGGUAUAUGAAAAGCCACUUCCACCACCUGUUCCUGUUUAUGAAAAACCUCUUCCCCCACCUACACCGGUCUAUGAAAAACCACUUCCACCGCCUACUCCAGUUUAUGAAAAACCUCAUCCUCCGCCUACACCUGUCUAUGAAAAGCCACUUCCACCGCCUGUUCCUGUUUAUGAAAAACCUCUUCCCCCACCUACACCGGUCUAUGAAAAACCACUUCCACCGCCUACUCCAGUUUAUGAAAAACCUCAUCCUCCGCCUACACCUGUCUAUGAAAAGCCACUUCCACCGCCUGUUCCUGUGUAUGUAAAGCCUAUUCCUCCACCUACUCCGAUCUAUGAAAAGCCACUUCCACCUCCUGUUCCGGUUUAUAAAAAACCUGUUCCUCCACCUACACCAGUCUAUGAAAAGCCACAUCCACCGCCUGUUUAUGAAAAGCCACUUCCACCUCCUGUGUAUGUAAAACCUAAGCCUCCACCAGUGCCAAUCUACAAAAAGCCACUUCCACCACCGGUUCCUGUUUACAAAAAACCUUGUCCUCCCCCUGUUCCUAUUUACAAGAAACCUAAUCCUCCACCAGUAUAUGAGAAGCCACUUCCACCACCAGUUCCUGUUUAUAAGAAACCUAAUCCUCCACCAGUGCCAGUCUACAAGAAGCCUCUUCCACCUCCUGUUCCCAUAUAUAAGAAACCCCUCCCUCCAC
Molecule: long non-coding RNA, 762 nt
Filed under: Cucumis sativus (cucumber)
Lineage: Eukaryota; Viridiplantae; Streptophyta; Magnoliopsida; Cucurbitales; Cucurbitaceae
Description: long non-coding RNA (CSAT_LNC000647)
Source: RNAcentral